RNAcentral lists this long non-coding RNA (1625 nucleotides) under Pan troglodytes (chimpanzee). RNAcentral's name for it is "long non-coding RNA NONPTRT011414". Lineage: Eukaryota; Metazoa; Chordata; Mammalia; Primates; Hominidae. The record is from RNAcentral.
UGGAAGUUGAGCAGCCAUCAUGCUCCACCGAGGAAGUGAGGGUGAAUGGAGCCAAGAGAUGUGGAGGGAGAAACUGGUUCCAGGAAACACCCUCUAUUCCCUAUCGCUUCAUGCUGCGAGUAACAGGGGUUAUUCAAAAGCACACUGGAGAAAGCAGGAAGAGCGCCACCUGCAGCUUGGGUAGGCUCCAUUUCGAGGAUGGAAUCAAUCCACUGUGGCUCCGAGGCCUGCCGCCUGCUUGCGACAGUUAAAUGCCUUCGGUUUUUGAGUUAUUUAAAGAACAUACCCUUUUAUGGGCAGGAGGAAGCACUUUAAUCUGCAAAAUGAUUUUUAUCACAAACUAAACAUCCUUGUAACUUUUUGGUCCUCUGCUUUGGUCGAAGUUGUCUCUCCUUGGAGCUCAGACAGCUGUUGGAGCUCAGAAGAUCUGCCUCCACCCUGCACUUUGCCCUGCUCGCUGGUACUGUGGUGCUCUCCAAUUCCUGGAUCCAUGUGGGAUGUAAGAACUCAGGAUCAGGACGCCUGCACGCAUCAAAAUGGGGCAUUUUCUUUCUCUUUAUCCCAGGACUUGAGAGAAAGCAAAAAACAAACACGAACAAAAAAAAAAAAACAAGAAUUCCUCUAAUUUAAGGUUUUUAACCUUGACACUUGAAGUUUUGGGCCAAUUAUUUGUCAUCAGGACUGCUUUGUGCAAUGUAGGAUAUUCCUGGCCUCUACCCACUAGAUGACCCAUUAGCACCCCUCAUUUGGGACAACCAAAAAUGUCCGUGGACAUUGACAAAUAACCAGGGAUGGGGGCCAAGAUCCCCCCUCAUUCCCCAGCUCCCCAUUUCCUGGUUAAAAACCACUGCUGACAGCAUCUUUAAAAACAUAAUUCCUUGUAGUAUUAUGUUGUGAGAUUGAGAGAACCACCACCCUCCUUAGAACUUUACAAAAGCCAUAUAAAAUAUCCCCUGAGGAGAACUGACUUAAACUUCAAGAUAGCAGCCUGCGCAACAUAGUGAAAUCCCAUCUCUACGGAAAAAAAAAAAACACAAAAAGUAGCCAGGCACGGUGGCACGAACCUGUAGUACCAACUAUCCGGAAGGCUGAGGUGGGAGGAUUCCUUGAGCCUCGGAGGUCAAGGCUGCAGUGAGCCCUGAUGGUGCCACUGCACUCCAGCUUGGCCGACAGAACGAGACCUUGACUCCAAAAUAGCAAUACUACUGUCUAUCAGGGCUAUGAAGCCACAUAAGACUUGACCCAUUAAGGACAAGAGUGAAGAAAAAUGUAUCAAAUAGAAAUAAUUUUAUCUAAACACUGGCAAGAGGAAAAAGACAUGGAGGAGAAACUUAGAAAUGAAAAGCAGCGAGGCAUCUAUAUGUUUUUCCGAGGCAAAAUUUACAUACCAUCAAGGUCAUCCAUGCAAAUGUUCUAGAGUUGAAAAGAAAGCUCUUUCUACAUCUGCAAGGCUGAUUCAUUUUUCUCCCUUCCAAGAACUCUACUAAAAAAAUUAUUUGUUGCUUAUCUGAAAUGCAAAUGUAACUGGAUGUCCUGUAUUUGUGAAAUUCCGGCAACCCUAAUCCAGGACCAAAGCAGAAUUAACCAAAUAAAUGAAAGUGCAUGUCUAGAAAUAAAUGUACUUU